RNAcentral lists this ribosomal RNA (1517 nucleotides) under uncultured bacterium. RNAcentral's name for it is "partial 16S ribosomal RNA". It matches the Rfam family "Bacterial small subunit ribosomal RNA". The record is from RNAcentral.
GGUCGACGAUUAGAGUUUGAUCCUGGCUCAGAUUGAACGCUGGCGGCAUGCCUAACACAUGCAAGUCGAACGGCAGCAUUUUCUAGCUUGCUAGAAAGAUGGCGAGUGGCGGACGGGUGAGUAACGCGUAGGAAUAUGCCUUGAAGUGGGGGACAACUUGGGGAAACUCAAGCUAAUACCGCAUAAUAUCUAAGGAUGAAAGCUGGGGACCUUCGGGCCUGGCGCUUUAAGAUUAGCCUGCGUCCGAUUAGCUAGUUGGUAGGGUAAGGGCCUACCAAGGCGACGAUCGGUAGCUGGUCUGAGAGGAUGGCCAGCCACACUGGAACUGAGACACGGUCCAGACUCCUACGGGAGGCAGCAGUGGGGAAUAUUGGACAACGGGGGGAACCCUGAUCCAGCAAUGCCGCGUGUGUGAAGAAGGCCUGAGGGUUGUAAAGCACUUUCAGUGGGGAGGAGGAUUUAGGGGUUAAGAGCUACUAGAUUGGACGUUACCCACAGAAGAAGCACCGGCUAACUCCGUGCCAGCAGCCGCGGUAAUACGGAGGGUGCGAGCGUUAAUCGGAAUUACUGGGCGUAAAGGGUGCGUAGGUGGUUGAUUAAGUUAUCUGUGAAAUCCCUGGGCUUAACCUGGGCAGGUCAGAUGAUACUGAUUGACUCGAGUAUGGGAGAGGGUAGUGGAAUUUCCGGUGUAGCGGUGAAAUGCGUAGAGAUCGGAAGGAACACCAGUGGCGAAGGCGGCUACCUGGCCUAAUACUGACACUGAGGCACGAAAGCGUGGGGAGCAAACAGGAUUAGAUACCCUGGUAGUCCACGCUGUAAACGAUGUCAACUAGCUGUUGGGAGCCUUGAGCUCUUAGUGGCGCAGCUAACGCAUUAAGUUGACCGCCUGGGGAGUACGGCCGCAAGGUUAAAACUCAAAUGAAUUGACGGGGGCCCGCACAAGCGGUGGAGCAUGUGGUUUAAUUCGAAGCAACGCGAAGAACCUUACCAGGCCUUGACAUCCAAUGAACUUUCCAGAGAUGGAUUGGUGCCUUCGGGAACAUUGAGACAGGUGCUGCAUGGCUGUCGUCAGCUCGUGUCGUGAGAUGUUGGGUUAAGUCCCGUAACGAGCGCAACCCUUGUCCUUAGUUACCAGCACGUUAUGGUGGGCACUCUAGGGAGACUGCCGGUGACAAACCGGAGGAAGGUGGGGAUGACGUCAAGUCCUCAUGGCCCUUAUGGGUAGGGCUUCACACGUCAUACAAUGGUACAUACAGAGGGCCGCCAACCCGCGAGGGGGAGCUAAUCCCAGAAAGUGUAUCGUAGUCCGGAUUGUAGUCUGCAACUCGACUACAUGAAGUUGGAAUCGCUAGUAAUCGCGGAUCAGCAUGUCGCGGUGAAUACGUUCCCGGGUCUUGUACACACCGCCCGUCACACCAUGGGAGCGGGUUUUACCAGAAGUAGGUAGCCUAACCGUAAGGAGGGCGCGUACCACGGUAGGAUUCGUGACUGGGGUGAAGUCGUAACAAGGUAGCCGU